CGGGGCGUAGCUCAGCCAGGUUUAGAGUACACGUCUGGGGGGCGUGGAGUCGGAAGUUCGAAUCUUCUCGCCCCGA
This 76-nucleotide transfer RNA is filed under the name Labilibaculum sp. Its description in RNAcentral is "tRNA-Pro". It matches the Rfam family "tRNA". Rfam says of the family: Transfer RNA (tRNA) molecules are approximately 80 nucleotides in length. Lineage: Bacteria; Pseudomonadati; Bacteroidota; Bacteroidia; Marinilabiliales; Marinifilaceae. The record is from RNAcentral.